RNAcentral lists this long non-coding RNA (1255 nucleotides) under Homo sapiens (human). RNAcentral describes it as "non-protein coding lnc-C8orf74-4:1". Lineage: Eukaryota; Metazoa; Chordata; Mammalia; Primates; Hominidae. The record is from RNAcentral.
AAAUGAGUAUAUCUCAUUGUCAGGUAAUAUCUGCUAUAAGAAAAAAUGUGAAAAAUGUAUAUAUCUAAAAGUACAUUUUGCUGUAAAGCUUGAGAAGCGAGAGAAAAUUCCUAAGGGGAGAGGCUGGGAUAAAGAAUGAAAUGCUGGAAUCGCCAUUUGGGCUGAGGCUGGCAGUAAGGUGAGGAGGAGUGCCUGUGAGGCAGGAAGUGCUUUCGGGUUGAAGACUAUAAGGAAUAUGCUCGGAGUCAAAUCAAUGUCUGCAGCAACUCUGCCCACAGAGACUCUGGAAAUAAGUCAUUAAGCAAUCAUGCUAAACUAUAGCUAUAUUCUUUUAAAAGGACUGGUGGGUUAUUUUGGUUUGGGGAGCUCCAGCCCCCAUCUUUGUGGCGGCUGCUGAUGUGCUUGGGCGAUCUGCUGGCCCCCUGGCUUUCUAGAUUUGUGGUAUCAUUCUAACCUGGCUCCUGGAUGCUUUAAACCUGUGAGCAAUAUCUCAAGAAUCCAGACUGCCAGGAGAACAGAUUUGCCUAAAAGAUAAAGGAACCUCCAUCGCUGACCACGGGUAUCGUCCUGGCCCCAUGAGAGAGCUUGUCACAGGAAGUGUCAAGGAAAACAUGAAAUGCACAAGCACCACUGGAAUGCAGCAAUCUCACAGUACUGCCCCAUCCCCGCAAUGGAGAAGCAGAAGAUGCAAUGCAUGCCGUACAAGUGCCAGCUACAUCCUACUGACAAACUGGAAGAUGUACAAAGAAGAAAAAGCAAAGGGCCCAAAUGAUUCAAAGAAAUGAACAAGUUAAAAAGGUAGUUUGGGGGACGGAAGAGCAAAGGGAAAAAAAAACUUUAGCAUAAUCAAGAACUUCCUUGGAAUAAGUCGAAAAGCCUGCAGCAUUCAAUGCCAGGGAACUCCCUCCCCUGGAACAGAGAAUUGCUUUAGGGGGAAGCUCACAAGGCUGACCGCACCUGGGGAACAAUUGCCAAGGAGACAAACUUCUGUGACUUACACACAGCAGGUCACUCAUACACUGAUACACUCAUGACAUUCCCUUGGAGCACUUCACCCCACAGACAAGAACAAGGUUGACGUGUAUGAAGACAACCUGCACUCUGGAGACAUCAAUCAAAUUUGGAUAUCCCAGGCCUGGAAUAGCUUUGUACUCCACUCCAUCAUCUUAUGAUUUAAAAAUUACUUUUUGGGCUUGCUCCCAUUCUGAAACUCCUAUCUCUUUGCCAGAAUCCAGUAUCAACAAAAACCUAUUGG